GAUGAACGCUGGCGGCGUGCCUAAUACAUGCAAGUCGAGCGAACAGAUGAGGAGCUUGCUCCUCUGACGUUAGCGGCGGACGGGUGAGUAACACGUGGAUAACCUACCUAUAAGACUGGGAUAACUUCGGGAAACCGGAGCUAAUACCGGAUAAUAUAUUGAACCGCAUGGUUCAAUAGUGAAAGACGGUUUUGCUGUCACUUAUAGAUGGAUCCGCGCCGCAUUAGCUAGUUGGUAAGGUAACGGCUUACCAAGGCAACGAUGCGUAGCCGACCUGAGAGGAUGAGAGGAACGAAGAGGAUAGAAGCACGGUCUCGACGCCGACGGGAGGUACUAGUCGAGAAUAUUGUGCAAGGGGCUAAAGUUUGAUCAAGCAAUAGGGAGUGAGUAAAGAAGGUGUGCUGGUUGUUAAACGGUUUAAUUAGGAAAAAAAAAAAAUACAGUUAGACGUUGUCAUAGAGACGUUACCAAGAAAUAAAGAAACGGCUGUCUUCGGU
Molecule: ribosomal RNA, 497 nt
Filed under: uncultured bacterium
Lineage: Bacteria
Description: partial 16S ribosomal RNA
Rfam family: Bacterial small subunit ribosomal RNA
Source: RNAcentral